UUUCGGGAGCCAAGGUCGGAGAUGUCCAUCUCGCUGCUAUGGCCCUCUCCCA
RNAcentral lists this microRNA precursor (52 nucleotides) under Fukomys damarensis (Damara mole-rat). RNAcentral's name for it is "miRNA (ENSFDAG00000020786.1)". The record is from RNAcentral. Lineage: Eukaryota; Metazoa; Chordata; Mammalia; Rodentia; Bathyergidae.